Molecule: long non-coding RNA, 504 nt
Filed under: Serinus canaria (Common canary)
Lineage: Eukaryota; Metazoa; Chordata; Aves; Passeriformes; Fringillidae
Description: lncRNA (ENSSCAG00000011828.1)
Source: RNAcentral
CAGGGGAUGUCAGCACUGAGAUGCAAUGUUUCAGGAGAGUCUGCUCCCCAGCAAGCUGCUUAAAUCCCUCUGCAGAGCUGGAAAAUCCACAGUUAUUAUGGGCUCCCAGGGGCCAGAUCCUGAGAUGUGAAGCACUGACAGGUGGAUAAUAGAAAUGUUCUGGACAGUCAGAGGGCUGCUGGAGAUGACAUAUGAGAAGAAAAUCACUGCUGGAGUGCAUUUGAGGAGGGCUUACCUUCUGUGUAACAGCUGAGAUCAAAGAACCUUUACAUGUGCUUGCUUUUAAGCUUCUCUGAAUCCAGAGCUGGGCAGGGAGAGGCAAGAAGAAGAAGAGGCAACUCUGGAAGACUGGUUGAUCCAGUGCUGGAAAAGUGUUCCCAGGAAGCUGAUAAUACCUGUGAAAUUUGGUCCUACCAUGAAGAAAUGGUUGUUAGUAUGGCACUCCAUCCUUCAGUAAAUAUGUUCCAUGUGGAUAUUUAUAGUCCUGCCUGCUCCCUUCAGUGA